CCAUAUGUGGCAUAGUGGUUUGAGUAUUGGACUAUGACUCUGGAGACCUGGGUUCAAUUCCCAGCUAUCCA
Molecule: transfer RNA, 71 nt
Filed under: Phrynosoma platyrhinos (Desert horned lizard)
Lineage: Eukaryota; Metazoa; Chordata; Lepidosauria; Squamata; Phrynosomatidae
Description: tRNA-OTHER
Source: RNAcentral